This 1639-nucleotide ribosomal RNA is filed under the name metagenome. RNAcentral describes it as "SSU rRNA". It matches the Rfam family "Eukaryotic small subunit ribosomal RNA". The record is from RNAcentral.
ACCGUAGUAAAUCUACAGCUAAUACAUGCAUAAAAUCCCGACUUUUAGGAAGGGAUGUAUUUAUUAGUUUAAAAACCGAUACGGACUUGUCCGGUUAUUGGUGAAUCAUGAUAACUGCUCGAAUCGCAUGGUCUUGUGCCGGCGAUAGGUCAUACAAAUUUCUGCCCUAUCAGCUUUCGUCGGUAAUGUAGUGGAUUACCGAGGCUUUGACGGGUAACGGAGAAUUAGGGUUCGAUUCCGGAGAGGGAGCCUGAGAAACGGCUACCACUUCUAAGGAAGGCAGCAGGCGCGCAAAUUACCCAAUCCUGCCACAGGGAGGUAGUGACAAUAAAUAACAAUACCGGUCCUUCAUGGUCUGGUAAUUGGAAUGAGUACAAUUUAAAACCCUUAACGAGGAUCCAUUGAGGGCAAGUCUGGUGCCAGCAGCCGCGGUAACACCAGCUCCAAUAGCGUAUAUUAAAGUUGUUGCAGUUAAAAAGCUCGUAGUUGGAUAUCUGGUGAGGACACCUGACCCGCUGCCUUCGGGUAGUGAUGCGUCGGUUGUUGUCCCUGCCAUCCUUUCGGAGAGCUGUUUCUAUUCUUCAUUGAGUGGGAACGCGAUCUGGAUCUUUUACUUUGAAAAAAUUAGAGUGUUCAAAGCAGGCGUUUGCAUUUGAACAUAUUAGCAUGGAAUAAUAAAAUAGGACUUUGGUUCUAUUUUGUUGGUUUGAGGACUGAAGUAAUGAUUGAUAGGGAUAGUUGGGGGUGCUUGUAUUGGACGGCCAGAGGUGAAAUUCUUGGAUUCGUUCAAGACAAACUACUGCGAAAGCAUUCACCAAGUAUGUCUUCUUUAAUCAAGAACGAAAGUUGGGGGAUCGAAGACGAUUAGAUACCGUCGUAGUCUCAACCAUAAACGAUGCCAGCUAAGGUUCAGUGGACGUUGUCUUUUUGACUUCGUUGGCACUUUACGAGAAAUCAAAGCUUUUGGGUUCCGGGGGGAGUCUGGUCGCAAGGCUGAAACUUAAAGGAAUUGACGGAAGGGCACCACAAGGCGUGGAGCCUGCGGCUUAUUUUGACCCAACACGGGAAAACUUACCAGGUCCGACACAGGAAGGAUUGACAGAUUGCAGAUCUUUCUUGAUUCUGUGGGUGGUGGUGCAUGGCCGUUCUUAGUUGGUGGAGUGAUUUGUCUGGUUAAUUCCGUUAACGAACGAGACCUCAGCCUGCUAACUAGUCCGACGAACGUUUGUUCGUUCGCUUUCGGAGCUUCUUAGAGGGACUGUCUGUUUCUAGCAGAAGGAAGUGUGAGGCAAUAACAGGUCUGUGAUGCCCUUCGAUGUCCUGGGCGGCACGCGCGCUACAAUGUUUGAUUCAGCAAGAAUUUUCCUGGACCGAGAGGUCUCGGUAAUCUUUGAAAUUCAAACGUGAUGGGGCUAGACUAUUGCAAUUUUUAGUCUUAAACGAGGAAUGCCUAGUAAACGCGAGUCAUCAGCUCGCAUUGAUUACGUCCCUGCCCUUUGUACACACCGCCCGUCGCUCCUACCGAUUGAAUGAUCCGGUGAAAUCAGUGGACUGUGGUGCUUAUUGGGUUUCUGAUGGGUACCGUCGGGAAAUUGAUUAAACCUUAUCAUUUAGAGGAAGGAGAAGUCGUAACAAGGUU